AGAGUUUGAUCCUGGCUCAGGAUGAACGCUGGCGGCGUGCUUAACACAUGCAAGUCGAACGCACCUUCGGGUGAGUGGCGGACGGGUGAGUAACGCGUGGGAAUCUGCCCUUAGGAGGGGGAUAACGGCUGGAAACGGCCGCUAAUACCCCAUAUGCCGAGAGGUGAAACGAAUUUCGCCUGAGGAUGAGCCCGCGUCUGAUUAGCUAGUUGGUGGGGUAAGAGCCCACCAAGGCGACGAUCAGUAGCUGGUCUGAGAGGAUGAUCAGCCACACUGGGACUGAGACACGGCCCAGACUCCUACGGGAGGCAGCAGUGGGGAAUUUUCCGCAAUGGGCGAAAGCCUGACGGAGCAACGCCGCGUGAGGGAUGAAGGCCUCUGGGCUGUAAACCUCUUUUCUCAAGGAAGAAGACAUGACGGUACUUGAGGAAUAAGCCACGGCUAAUUCCGUGCCAGCAGCCGCGGUAAUACGGGAGUGGCAAGCGUUAUCCGGAAUUAUUGGGCGUAAAGCGUCCGCAGGCGGCUCUGUAAGUCUGUUGUUAAAGCGUGGAGCUCAACUCCAUUUCAGCAAUGGAAACUACAGGGCUUGAGUGUGGUAGGGGCAGAGGGAAUUCCCGGUGUAGCGGUGAAAUGCGUAGAUAUCGGGAAGAACACCAGUGGCGAAGGCGCUCUGCUGGGCCAUAACUGACGCUCAUGGACGAAAGCCAGGGGAGCGAAAGGGAUUAGAUACCCCUGUAGUCCUGGCCGUAAACGAUGAACACUAGGUGUCGGGGGAAUCGACCCCCUCGGUGUCGUAGCCAACGCGUUAAGUGUUCCGCCUGGGGAGUACGCACGCAAGUGUGAAACUCAAAGGAAUUGACGGGGGCCCGCACAAGCGGUGGAGUAUGUGGUUUAAUUCGAUGCAACGCGAAGAACCUUACCAGGGUUUGACAUCCUGCGAAUCCCUUGGAAACUUGGGAGUGCCUUCGGGAGCGCAGAGACAGGUGGUGCAUGGCUGUCGUCAGCUCGUGUCGUGAGAUGUUGGGUUAAGUCCCGCAACGAGCGCAACCCACGUCUUUAGUUGCCAGCAUUCAGUUGGGCACUCUAGAGAGACCGCCGGUGAUAAACCGGAGGAAGGUGUGGAUGACGUCAAGUCAUCAUGCCCCUUACAUCCUGGGCUACACACGUACUACAAUGCUACGGACAGAGGGCAGCAAGCUCGCGAGAGUUAGCAAAUCCCAUAAACCGUGGCUCAGUUCAGAUCGUAGGCUGCAACUCGCCUACGUGAAGGAGGAAUCGCUAGUAAUCGCAGGUCAGCAUACUGCGGUGAAUACGUUCCCGGGCCCUGUACACACCGCCCGUCACACCAUGGAAGUUGGCCAUGCCCGAAGUCGUUACU
RNAcentral lists this ribosomal RNA (1378 nucleotides) under metagenome. RNAcentral's name for it is "bacterial SSU rRNA". It matches the Rfam family "Bacterial small subunit ribosomal RNA". The record is from RNAcentral.